UGUGCGAACACGGAGACAUCACUUCUUGAUCACCGAAGCUGAUUAAAGUUCACCUUCCGUCAGGACUGAAGGCUUCACUUCUUCUCCUGCUGCUGCUCUGGAUACAGAUUGAACAAGACGUGGUGUUUUCUCUGCUGCUUGGAUUGACUUCAUCACAGAACCGGCUGAAGAUUCACCCAGAACCAAAGCUAUUUUUAAUAGUUCUUCUUGUUCUCUGCUACUCUCACACUUUCUUUCUCAGUUGUAUUAUUCUUCUAACAAUAACCUUUCCAUCCCACAUUCUGCUCAGGAAACACAUUUUUCCUCCUGGACUUGUGAAGCUAAUCAUAUUUGUCUCUUUUUAGGUUUACUCCUGUCUCAGAGUCAUCUCCCAGACAUGUCUUCCUCAAAGAAACCCAACAGACACUAUCUCCUCUGCCCCGUUUGCUUGAAAACAAACGAAUCCCUGUCCGUUCAUCUCCGCCGUGUCUGCAUGAAGAAUGGUACACCGGAAGCCAUUAAUGCAGUGGUGGAGAAGGCCAAGAAAGAGGCCCACGCACUCCUGGUAUCUGGCAGAAUCUUCAACUACGGCCGACUUUGCCAGAUCAUGGCUGAUGCAAAUCCCCUCAAAAGGAUGAUUGAGGAGUUGCAGCGACUCCCUCCAACUCUGCCCGACCCAGUUCCAGGUCCAUCAACCACACAGCAACCACAGAGUGCUGAGCCUGAGGAGAGCGAACCUUCAUCUGACAUUGCUUUUGUGAGCAGUGGAGAGACCUUUCAAUGGUGAGUCCUACCUUCAUCUUUGUUUCCUUUGAUAUAUGAACUACAAGAAGAAUCAUCUUCCUGCUUGUGUCUCUUCAACCUGGAACAUAACAGGUCUUUUUAUAUAAAAUGCAUUUCCCAAAAUACAGUGUCCCAGACAUGCAGUGGCAGAGAAAGAACAGGAAGCU
This 929-nucleotide long non-coding RNA is filed under the name Gouania willdenowi (blunt-snouted clingfish). RNAcentral describes it as "lncRNA (ENSGWIG00000004081.1)". Lineage: Eukaryota; Metazoa; Chordata; Actinopteri; Blenniiformes; Gobiesocidae. The record is from RNAcentral.